Long non-coding RNA from Neltuma alba, 2487 nucleotides. RefSeq lists it as uncharacterized. The record is from RefSeq and is a predicted model, not a curated record. NCBI's taxonomy places the organism in Eukaryota, Viridiplantae, Streptophyta, Magnoliopsida, Fabales, Fabaceae. The transcript has 2 exons.
CUCAUACUUUUGAUUUUGUCUUUUUUCUUUUUUGGGCAUGUCUUAUUGGGGUUCUAUGUUGGCUGACUUGGUGAUGGUGAUGGCACGCCGGUGAAGAAGAUGCCAAUGAAGAGAUUAUUCGGCCUAAGAAUUUUUGCAGACAAUAUGGGGUAAUAAUGAUCAUUUAUUCAGUACAGUUGUGGAAAAAAAUUGAGUCUGGGUGAUGAAGUAAAAAGGUUUAGUUAUAUUAUUUGAUAUUUGGUAAAGUAAGUUAUAUUGUUGAGUUGUUGGUGUUUUAAGUAAUAGUCGUCUGGAAUUUUGAAAUUAUGUAAGUGAUAGGCUCUUAUAUGAACUUCAGAUUAUAUUGAGAUAUUAAAGUCAAAUAUUAGAGUUAGACGAAGGCCGGCUUGGGAAAGAGUCGAUCAUCUUUCUCAUGACGAGAGAAGGGAAAAACUGAAUUUGAGUGAUGAAGUUAUGUGAUUUUGCACAACUGUUUAGAUGAAAUAAGUAAUGAUAUUGGUUUAAUUGGUGAGUUAUAUGCUCCGCAGAGGAUUUACAUCAUGAGGCACAUUGUGGUGAGAAUAAUAUGGUAUGCUGCAAUAUUGACAUUUACUUAUAGCCAAUUGAGUCAUAAGAAAUUAAUACAAUUUAAAGUUUGGUAUUUUCAUAUGUUAGAGACAACAAAAUCAUUUUUAUGGACCUGCUGGACGGUGAUCUUUCAUUGAACACUAUAGUGAUAAGACACAAAGACUGACUCAUAAGAUCCGACGUAUAUCGUUGGGAUUGCCUACAUGCGACAUCCUUUUUCAUGGAGGCCAUGCUUAGAACUUAUCAGCCAGCUCAAAAGCAAAUACACAAUCUGCCUGAGUACGAAGGUAGUAGCAGAGGAGGAAGACUGCAGUUGUCCUAUGUUAUUGUCGAAGGGAUGUCUAUCAUUCAGUUCUCCACUACCUGAAUCAGAAUGAGCAUGCUAAAAGAACUCAUUACUAUCAUGGUUGAAGACACUGCUGUUUUGACUAUAGGUGUUGACCAUGUGCAACUAUCAAUCGCAAUUAGCUGCUGCAAUACACUAUAUUUAGCAUAUUAUCAGGAAAGUUAAUUUUGCAUGUUACAAAAGUUAAUCUUUUUCUCUUGUACAUGUUAGAAGUUCGCUGGAUCAGUCUCAGAUUUAAUGGCAUUCUCUAAUGAGAUUCAUUGGCUAUAGCUCAACAUCUCUACACAGGUGGUUUUCCUUCUUUCCUACUAAUUCAAUUAUGUUGGUGUGAUAAGCUGAAAGCGUCUUACUCCAUCUCGUUUUUGUUUGGUGGGUGUUAAUAUUUAGGUCAUAUUAUUUGACGAGAAAGUUUGUUCUUCCAUUUCUGUUACAUGGGUGGUUACUUGCUUUUAGAGUUUAUUUUGGCUUCAAUCAAUUAAAUUUCUUGUUCUUCAUGUAAAUAGUAAUACCAUCCAUUAAAUUAUAUGGAAGACAAGUAACUGAUACUCGCACUUGAUAUUAUGGGGACAUUAAGAUUAAGAACAAGCAAAUAUGCUAUCACUUUGAAGAAUUCUAUGAACCUUACAAAUCAAUGGCAUUGAGGUAUCUGGUCCUUUACUAUUUGAUGAUUCAAUUUGAAUAUUUCUUUUACUGGGCUCCAUUAUUUGUCAGAGACAUUGAUUGGUGUUCUCAUAUCUAUCUGUGCACAAUUAUUAUUUUCAGUUUUGAUUUGUUCUCAAUGAUAUUAUUCACAGAUAUUAAGAAUUAAUUUAUACGGAUGAUCUUAUCAUCAAUGAGGUGUGAUAAUUAUAGUCAUGUCUACAUGUGUGGUUGUUGGUAAUGCUUCCUUGGCUUUCUUAUGUGUUUCAUAAAAGUUGUUCCGGCACAUACCUAUUUAUUGGUACCUGCUGUUUACUAAGCAGCUUUAACAUUAAAUGAGUCCCAAAAAUUUGAUGGUUCUUACAGUGGUCAAAAUGGUUCAUAAGUGAAGUGGAUUUCAUGUGAGCAACAUGCAUAAGUUACGAGCAUGGUAGACUUUACUUGGUGGGCUGAUCUUACAGAGAAUUCGUCUGACAAAUUUAUGAUUUUGUAGCUUAAGUUUAUCAUUUUGGUGGGUUAUUUUUGACAAAACAUGGUUAGAUUCAGUGUAAAUUUGGUGUUGUAUUUUUAUUUCAUGCUUCUAUUUUCUUAAAGUUGAUCCCGCAGGGAAUAUGCACGUGUCCAAGUUUAGUUCGUUCCUUAUUUUUCAUCAAAGUAGAGGGAUGGUUGACCAUGAAGGUACGGUGUGCAGGCUGGAGCUAAUUUGGAGUCAUUGAAGAUAUGUCAUUCUAAAGCGCAAAAAACAUUAGCAGCAUUAAUUUACAGGUUCAAAAUUUUAUUUUAUUUUAAUUAUUCUGAUAUUUUUAUUUAUAAAUAUGUAAAACAGAAAAAUAAAUUUUAUGAUUUUUUCCAAUGAAGGUUUCAACCUGAAAUUUUAAAAGAAAACGUUUAGGUUUUGACUUUCUAAAUUAAAUCUACAACGUCAAGAGAUCCCA